RNAcentral lists this ribosomal RNA (868 nucleotides) under uncultured archaeon. RNAcentral describes it as "bacterial SSU rRNA". It matches the Rfam family "Archaeal small subunit ribosomal RNA", at positions 1 to 878 of the family's 1478-position model. The record is from RNAcentral.
UUCCGGUUGAUCCUGCGGGACCCGACUGCUAUCAGAGUGGGACUAAGCCAUGCGAGUCAACAUAGCAAUAUGUGGCAUACGGCUCAGUAACACGUAGUCAACAUGCCCAGGGGACGUGGAUAACCUCGGGAAACUGAGGAUAAACCGCGAUAGGUCAUCACUUCUGGAAUGGGUAAUGACUUAAAUCUAUAUGGCCCCUGGAUUGGACUGCGGCCGAUCAGGCUGUUGGUGAGGUAAUGGCCCACCAAACCUGUAACCGGUACGGGCUCUGAGAGGAGGAGCCCGGAGAUGGGCACUGAGACAAGGGCCCAGGCCCUAUGGGGCGCAGCAGGCGCGAAACCUCUGCAAUAGGCGAAAGCUUGACAGGGUUACUCUGAGUGAUUUCCGUUAAGGAGAUCUUUUGGCACCUCUAAAAAUGGUGCAGAAUAAGGGGUGGGCAAGUCUGGUGUCAGCCGCCGCGGUAAUACCAGCACCCCGAGUGGUCGGGACGUUUAUUGGGCCUAAAGCAUCCGUAGCCGGUUCUACAAGUCUUCCGUUAAAUCCACCUGCUUAACAGAUGGGCUGCGGAAGAUACUAUAGAGCUAGGAGGCGGGAGAGGCAAGCGGUACUCGAUGGGUAGGGGUAAAAUCCGUUGAUCCAUUGAAGACCACCAGUGGCGAAGGCGGCUUGCCAGAACGCGCUCGACGGUGAGGGAUGAAAGCUGGGGGAGCAAACCGGAUUAGAUACCCGGGUAGUCCCAGCUGUAAACGAUGCAGACUCGGUGAUGAGUUGGCUUAUUGCUAACUCAGUGCCGCAGGGAAGCCGUUAAGUUUGCCGCCUGGGGAGUACGGUCGCAAGACUGAAACUUAAAGGAAUUGGCGGGGGAGCA